Xyrauchen texanus (razorback sucker) is the source of this 5727-nucleotide RNA transcript. It is a transcript of the gene named potassium voltage-gated channel subfamily C member 1-like, with no coding region annotated. The transcript is spliced from 6 exons. The record is from RefSeq and is a predicted model, not a curated record. NCBI's taxonomy places the organism in Eukaryota, Metazoa, Chordata, Actinopteri, Cypriniformes, Catostomidae.
CACCUUUCCAUUAAGGACUAAAUUGCACGGAAAUGCUGAUUUGCCUAAACAAAAACAUCGACAGAGAAUAAAGAGGGAGGGAAAAACGAGUGGAUGAAAUAAGAGAGUCAGUUUAAGGAAUAACACUUGUUCGACAUGGAGCUUGUUCGGCAUAAAUAAUUUGACUCGGGCAUCUCAGUCUGCAACUAAAGACCGGGUUACGUUCAUUUUUAACACCAGACAACGGGAACAGUUGAAGAUACGGAAGAAAGGAUGCUAAAACCGAGAAGAAAGGGAUAGAAUGCUAAUAUAGUGAGUGCAUGAAGAUUAAAUAGAGAGAGAGAGAGAGAGAGAGAGAGAGAGAGAGAGAGAGAGAGAGAGAGAGAGAGAGAGAGAGAGAGAGAGGUGUUUCCCCGAUGCUCGUGUCGCUGUUGGUUGGAAAGACUGUUUUGUUUAGGAAAUAAAAAGUAACUGAUUAACACAAGCGUUAAGUCACAGACAUGCAGAUAUACAAGGAAAAUAUAGUUAUUUUAUUUUUUUAACAGAACAAAUAUGUCAGAUAAACCCAUGCAUAUUGCGGGAAUAAUUUAUUAGAGGUUUGGCAGAGAAGGAAAAUAGGUAAUAAAUCAUAUAAAUAUAUUUUUUCUGGCUAUUUUUUUAUAUCACUAUAGAAACGGACCUAUUUAGGCCUAUAUUGCACAGUGAAGUUGCGCUGUUUUGAGCCAGCAGGUGUUGUAGCAAGUACAUUUUAUAUUAUUCAUGAAGUGUAGCCAUUUUUACAGAAAUAUUUUAGGAUUAGGCAUUCAGUACAGUCGAUUGGACCACACGCCCCGAGGAUCUCUCCAAAACCUACUAAAUUCCACGUAACAUUUUUGUGCAGUUUGUGCGUUCAUGUGUGUGUGUUUAAGAACACUCACACUGCACGCACGUGAACCGAGCCAGAUCCAAAGCGAGCUUCUCCUAACCCCCUCCCCUCUCCGUUCUCUGUCCAGCUCUCCCUCCCCUGCUCCUCUAUGCUCAAUUCGGUGUGUGUCUCCUCUUUCAAAGGGCGCAAGGGUGGGAACAAGUCGUCCAACAAAGCAUGUUACAGCGCAGACAUGACUUGUCCGUCAGAAAGCGAGAAAAUAGUAAUAAACUGCGGAGGGAUUCGGCACGAGACCUACCGCAGCACGCUGAGGACGCUGCCCGGGACCCGCUUGUCUUGGCUUACCGAGCCUGAUGCGUUCAGUAACUUUGACUAUGACCCCAAAUCCGACGAGUUCUUCUUUGACCGCCACCCCAACACGUUUGCGUUCAUUCUAAAUUAUUACCGCACAGGGAAAUUGCAUUGUCCCAACGAUGUCUGCGGUCCUCUCUUUGAAGAGGAGCUCGCUUUUUGGGGGAUCGAUGAGACGGACGUGGAGGCUUGCUGCUGGAUGAACUACCGACAGCAUCGGGAUGCCGAGGAAGCGCUGGACAGCUUCGAGACGCCCGAGCCGGAACUGCCAGAGGACGACCCGGCACUUACUGGUGGUGCGGACGGGGACUUGAAGAGGUUGUGUCUACAGGAGGACGGGCGGCACUCCAGCUGGUGGAGUAUAUGGCGGCCCCGGAUCUGGGCGCUGUUUGAGGAUCCCUACUCCUCAAAAUACGCCAGGUAUGCAGCAUUCGGCUCGCUCCUGUUCAUCCUCAUCUCCAUCUCAACAUUUUGCUUGGAGACACACGAGGCCUUCAACACCAUCUACAAUAAGACAGAAAACGUGACUGUGGGGAAUGUCACGCGGGAGGAGGUUGUGUUUGAGGUAGUGACUGACAAAUGGCUUACCUAUGUAGAAGGAAUGUGCGUCAUCUGGUUCACCAUCGAGGUGUUCGCCCGAGUCAUCUUCUGCCCAGACAAAGCCGAGUUCUUCAAGAGCUUGUUAAACAUCAUUGACUUUGUAGCCAUUUUGCCCUUUUACCUGGAGGUGGCGCUGAGCGGCCUCUCCUCUAAAGCCGCCAAAGAUGUGCUGGGCUUUUUGCGCGUGGUGCGAUUCGUCCGAAUCCUGCGAAUCUUCAAGCUCACGCGCCAUUUUGUGGGGCUGAGAGUGCUGGGUCAUACGCUUCGUGCCAGUACCAAUGAAUUCUUGCUCCUCAUCAUCUUCCUUGCUCUCGGAGUGCUCAUCUUUGCCACCAUGAUCUACUAUGCCGAGCGCAUUGGUGCAGACCCAAAAGACCCCACGGCGAGCAAACACACCUCCUUCAAAAACAUCCCCAUUGGCUUCUGGUGGGCAGUGGUGACCAUGACGACGUUGGGCUAUGGUGACAUGUAUCCAGAAACGUGGUCUGGUAUGUUAGUGGGCGCCCUGUGCGCCCUGGCAGGUGUGCUGACCAUCGCCAUGCCUGUGCCUGUUAUUGUUAACAACUUCGGUAUGUACUACUCUCUGGCCAUGGCCAAGCAGAAGCUGCCCAAGAAAAAGAACAAGCACAUCCCGCGGGCUCCGCAGCCUGGAUCUCCCAACUACUGUAAACCAGAUGCCCUGGCCAUGGCUACUGCCUCGCCACACAGGAUCAUGGGUAAUGUGCUGGGCAGUUUGGUGGGCUCUGGAAGCAUGGCAGGAGACUGUCCUCUUGCACAGGAGGAAAUCAUAGAGAUUAACAGAGCAGACUCAAAGCAGAAUGGUGAUGCUGCAAAUGCAGCCCUGGCUAAUGAGGACUGUCCCAACAUAGACCAGGUGCUGGGGCCAGAUGACAGGAGUCCAGCCACUGGUGGGUUGGGAACAGGCAUGGGGCGGGAGCGUUACCCCCAUGAUCGCGCCUGCUUCCUCCUCAGUACUGGAGAGUUCCGCACCACAGACAGCAAUAUCAGGAAAGAGAACUAUUCUGAAAGCCCAGUGCUUAUCAGAUAUAUGCAAAAAGAAGCAGUAACUGUGAACUAAUUCUAGAACAGAAAAACCACUUCUUCCUUCACAAAUACAUUCCCAAAUGAACACCUGACCCCUGUCUCCCUGAACCAGUUUCAAGUCCUGUCCAUUCCUUUCGGUCCAUUUGAGUUCAGUACCCUCAUCACACAUUUCCAAUACAUUACAUUAUCCAUCUUUUUAAAUCAUUCUUAUAUAGUUUUGAAGACCAGAGAUGUUACCCCUCUGUUUUCUGUUAAUCUCCGCUCUUACCCCCUCUGCUGGUUUCACAGGGGAUGAAUUGCUGUAGCAUUCAGUAUUGUAGAUUACUAGCACUAUUUGGUCACUUUAGAGGCUAAGAAAAGAGACUUUAGCCCUUUACUUGUUAUACGUAGGAUUAAAAUGAUCAUUUUAGGCUUUCGUUUCAAUGGACUCUUGAAAGAUUUUCUGUUCUCUCAUGUGUAGUAAAAUCAGUCUAUUUAAUGCUGAACAGAGAGUGAAAGAUUAUGAAACAAUUCUUUUCACUACAGCAAUGCAUGUUUCAACACAAUCCUGAAGAUUGAUAAAUGCUGCAUUCUUGUACAUCUUGUGGGUUUCCAGUGUGUAUUCUGUAGAGGCACAGUCAGGGUUGACAGGGUUGUAGAGGAUAUGACACAUGAUAGAGGCCCCUUCCUAGUUGGCUAAGUGAAUGCCCUGGUAAACAGAAAUAAGGCUGCAUGCAAUCAGGGAGGACACUGUAAAUAAUUAUCUCGUUCUCAGAUUGCAUGUUAAGUUAACAGCACAGAACUAUUAUUUGAUUGAAAUUUUUUUUAAAAAAGGUGAGGCAUUUGAAAUAGUGAGAGCAGAUCAGUUAAAAUGAUUUGCCCAGACAUUAGCAUUACCCUGAUCCCUCUCUAUCUUGGUCAGACUUACAGUGCGCUCCCUGUCACUACUCAGGUAUAUCUCUUUUAGUUUGUCUAUACCAGUGCUUCCAAAAUGAUGUCAUUGCAAAACAAAGACAGAGACAGAAAGUGAUGAAUUAUAUAUGUCCUGUCUAGGCAUGCACAUUUGUAAAUAUAAAAUAGCCUAAUCUGUUUUUGACCCCAUUACUCAUUACAAGUCUUCCUUUUCCACAGUGUCCUUGUGCAAAUUGUUUCCUUGCCCAUCUGCAUUUGUCAUUUCACGUGCCACUCUCAUUUAUUUUCAUUUACAAACUCUACUGCUUCCAAAUAGCAACCAAAAAUGCUGGAUUACAUAAUGAGAAAUCAAGGAAAAAUACUAGGUCAUUUGUUAAAAUUAAAAUGGUCUGCUAUAAGUGGAUUACAAAAACUAUAAAUGGAAUCAGGACUCAACCAAAUCAGGAGCUAAAAGCAUUGAGGGUCAGAUGGACAGAUUGUGUGUUUGGGAAAAUGUGUGGGAGAGUAUUGUGAGGAUUUUCAACAAAUGAAGAAAGGCAUCAGAAAAUGGAGGACAGUUUGGGGAAGAAAGAAACAAAGACAGGAGGAAGGGAGCUGAACGCUUCGCAGUUGCUGAGCUUCUGAACUGGCCCUUUUUUCGCUAAAGAAGAGCUCCCCAACUGCAAAACAGAGUCAGAGUUGGCUCAGAGGAAGCGAAAGAGAGAAAUCUAGAGGUGAACGGAGCACUGCACAAAAACCCACUUGAAGAAAACCUGCUAUAAGUCAUCUCUAAUUCAACUAUUUCAACCGAAUGUUGGUGCAAUAAACUGAUUAAGAUUCCACAUCCUGGGAUGAUGUGGAACUCUUCCAAUUCUUCCAACAGGGGUGGGAUUCAGCAUACAAACUGUAGUAUGUCCUGGUGCGACCCUUCAAGAAAGUUUCUCAGACUACCUGAAGAGCUAGGUGGAAAAUGGAUGUAAUUUUUAAGGGGCAAGAACUAUUUUUGUGGAAUGUGAAUCCAUCCUUGUUUUGUCCACCAAUGCACCUGCAACCCUGCAAAACAAGUGGAAAAUCCCUCAGAACCUGAUCAACUUCAAUCCAGUCUUAGAUACAAGUAAUGUGUGGAAAAAUAUCCAUUAUGCCCUUCAACGCUAUGCAAUUCAACCACACAUUCAAGUUCAUCAAAAGCUUAAAUUGAUCAGAUUGUUCACAGCCAAACUUUUCCCCCUCCUUUACAUUUUUGGAGGUCUUGCACAUGCUUUAAAUUAAAAUAGACAACAGCGUCAUCACUCAUGCAGUGCACAAACUGUGGAAAUCUUGUUUUGAGUGUCCUUCUCAGGGCUCAUUGAAAGGUUAUUUUGUCCAUUAUAAAGAAAUGAAAGUCAGCCUCUCUCUUUUCUCUCUCUCUCUCUCUUAGUUUAGCUCUCUGAAUAUCAGCAUUUCUGUUCCACUGUAGAUAAACUGCAUGGCAUGAAUGAAAAAACAAACAAACAAAAAAGAAAAAAAGUGAGGACUAUGAUAUAAAGAGGAAGAGACUUAUGAGAAACUCAUAAACAGGACUUGUCUGUUUGCACAGGAAAAUGGCAAUAUGGGGCGAAUCAAACACAGUCACUCUGGAUCAGUUGAAUGAGAGAUAAAAAAAAAACGCAGGUUUUUACCUUCAUGCUGGGAACAGAAAAUACAGCAAAAGUGCAUGAAACUUGUUGAAGGACAGAGGGGCUUUUUCGUGGACUGGAUGAACUUGGAACAAAAGGGAAAAAGAAAGAAAGAAAGAAAGAGAAAAUUUUAAACACAUUUUUCUCACUUUGUUUACCAGCAUGACUAAAUUGCAUGACUUCUGCGAGCCCUGAACCCCAGAUUAGAGGGGUUGGAAUCACUUAACAACAAAAUCAAAUGGAAAUAAUAACAAUUUAUGCUAAAUGCUAUUAAGUUUAGAAAAAAAUAUUAUAUUUAAAAAAGAGAGGCUCUAUAUUUUGUUUUUGAAUAAUAAAAAAAUAAUAAUGUAAAAAUAUAUAGAA